RNAcentral lists this ribosomal RNA (644 nucleotides) under uncultured Bacteroidales bacterium. Its description in RNAcentral is "bacterial SSU rRNA". It matches the Rfam family "Bacterial small subunit ribosomal RNA", at positions 76 to 717 of the family's 1533-position model. Lineage: Bacteria; Pseudomonadati; Bacteroidota; Bacteroidia; Bacteroidales. The record is from RNAcentral.
GUAGCAAUACACCGCUGGCGACCGGCGCACGGGUGAGUAACACGUAUCCAACCUGCCCUUUACUCGGGGAUAGCCUUUCGAAAGAAAGAUUAAUACCCGAUGGUAUAACAUGACCUCCUGGUUUUGUUAUUAAAGAAUUUCGGUAGAGGAUGGGGAUGCGUUCCAUUAGGCAGUUGGCGGGGUAACGGCCCACCAAACCUUCGAUGGAUAGGGGUUCUGAGAGGAAGGUCCCCCACAUUGGAACUGAGACACGGUCCAAACUCCUACGGGAGGCAGCAGUGAGGAAUAUUGGUCAAUGGGCGAGAGCCUGAACCAGCCAAGUAGCGUGAAGGAUGACCGCCCUAUGGGUUGUAAACUUCUUUUAUAUGGGAAUAAAGUUUGCCACGUGUGGCAUUUUGUAUGUACCAUAUGAAUAAGGAUCGGCUAACUCCGUGCCAGCAGCCGCGGUAAUACGGAGGAUCCGAGCGUUAUCCGGAUUUAUUGGGUUUAAAGGGAGCGUAGGUGGACAUGUAAGUCAGUUGUGAAAGUUUGCGGCUCAACCGUAAAAUUGCAGUUGAUACUGCGUGUCUUGAGUACAGUAGAGGUGGGCGGAAUUCGUGGUGUAGCGGUGAAAUGCUUAGAUAUCACGAAGAACUCCGAUUGCG